Molecule: transfer RNA, 77 nt
Filed under: Chloroflexota bacterium
Lineage: Bacteria; Bacillati; Chloroflexota
Description: Chloroflexi bacterium tRNA-Glu
Rfam family: tRNA
About the family: Transfer RNA (tRNA) molecules are approximately 80 nucleotides in length.
Source: RNAcentral
GCCCCCAUGGUCUAGCGGCCGAGGACGCCACCCUUUCAAGGUGGAGAUCGCGGGUUCGAAUCCCGCUGGGGGCACCA